This 75-nucleotide transfer RNA is filed under the name Deltaproteobacteria bacterium RIFCSPHIGHO2_01_FULL_43_49. RNAcentral's name for it is "tRNA-Glu". It matches the Rfam family "tRNA". Rfam says of the family: Transfer RNA (tRNA) molecules are approximately 80 nucleotides in length. Lineage: Bacteria; Deltaproteobacteria. RNAcentral also lists the same sequence under 6 other names. The record is from RNAcentral.
GCUCCCAUCGUCUAACGGUUAGGACACGGCCCUCUCAAGGCCGCGAUACGGGUUCGAUUCCCGUUGGGAGCACCA